GGAAAACUGGAAGAGGGGCCAGCCUCAGGCCUCGCAACAAACUGGGGCG
This is a regulatory RNA element of Homo sapiens (human), 49 nucleotides long. Lineage: Eukaryota; Metazoa; Chordata; Mammalia; Primates; Hominidae. The record is from Rfam.